RNAcentral lists this ribosomal RNA (304 nucleotides) under uncultured bacterium. Its description in RNAcentral is "partial 16S ribosomal RNA". It matches the Rfam family "Bacterial small subunit ribosomal RNA", at positions 506 to 807 of the family's 1533-position model. The record is from RNAcentral.
CAGCAGCAGCCACGGUAAUACGAGGGGAGCUAGCGUUAUUCGGAAUUACUGGGCGUAAAGCGCACGUAGGCGGCCUUGUAAGUUAGAGGUGAAAGCCCAGAGCUCAACUCUGGAAUUGCCUUUAAGACUGCAUCGCUUGAAUCCAGGAGAGGUGAGUGGAAUUCCGAGUGUAGAGGUGAAAUUCGUAGAUAUUCGGAAGAACACCAGUGGCGAAGGCGUCUCACUGGACUGGUAUUGACGCUGAGGUGCGAAAGCGUGGGGAGCAAACAGGAUUAGAUACCCGUGUAGUCCCUGUCUCUUAUAC